GAUGAAGAACUCAGCGAAAUGCGAUAAGUAAUGUGAAUUGCAGAAUUCAGUGAAUCAUCGAAUCUUUGAACGCACAUUGCGCCCGCCAGUAUUCUGGCGGGCAUGCCUGUUCGAGCGUCAUUACAACCCUCAGGCCCCCGGGCCUGGCGUUGGGGAUCGGCGGAGCCCCCCGUGGGCACACGCCGUCCCCCAAAUACAGUGGCGGUCCCGCCGCAGCUUCCAUCGCGUAGUAGCUAACACCUCGCGACUGGAGAGCGGCGCGGCCACGCCGUAAAACACCCAACUCUUCUGAAGUUGACCUCGAAUCAGGUAGGAAUACCCGCUGAACUUAAGCAUAUCAAUAAGCGGAGGA
This 352-nucleotide unclassified non-coding RNA is filed under the name soil metagenome. RNAcentral's name for it is "partial contains 5.8S ribosomal RNA, internal transcribed spacer 2, and large subunit ribosomal RNA". The stretch from base 1 to 120 matches the Rfam family "5.8S ribosomal RNA", at positions 35 to 154 of the family's 154-position model. The record is from RNAcentral.